AAUCCCAGCACUUUGGGAGGCCGAGGCGGGAGGAUCACUUGAGGCCAGGAGUUUGAGACCAGCCUGGGCAACAUAGUGAGACUGUCUCUAACUUAAAUUUUAAUCACACACACAUUCUCUUUGGGGGGGGGGGGUGCGGGGCACGGAGUCUAGCACGGGGCCCAGGCUAGAGUGCAGUGGCGUGAGCUCACUACAACCUCUGGCUCCUGGUUCAAGUGAGUCUCCUGCCUCAGCCUCCCCAGUAGCUGGGAUUACAGGUGCCCACCACCAUGCCAGGCUAAUUUUUGUAUUUUUAGUAGAGAUGGGGUUUCGCCAUGUUGGCCAGGCUGGUCUCGAACUCCUGACCUUAAGUGAUCCGCCCGCCUCAGCCUCCCAAAGUGCUGCAAUUACAGGCAUGAGCCACUAUGCCCAGCCACAUUCUUAACCUUAAAGGGCUCUGAAUAUGGAGAUAGAACACUGGAGUCGAAGUCCCAGCCCCCUCUGUCGCUCUCUGAAGCUCAGUGUUGUCAUUUGCAAGAUGAGGACAAUAUAGCAUGCAACCUCACCUUCAGAAAAGACUCCAUGGACUUUGAGGCCAGAGAGUUGCUCCGGAACAGGGUGUUGGUCUCACCUACAAACAGAGGUCCCAGUGGGUAGGGG
RNAcentral lists this long non-coding RNA (639 nucleotides) under Homo sapiens (human). Its description in RNAcentral is "LHRI_LNC1322.1". Lineage: Eukaryota; Metazoa; Chordata; Mammalia; Primates; Hominidae. The record is from RNAcentral.